GUGUGUAAGUCUCUCUCUCUCUCUCUCUCUCUCUCUCUCUCUCUCUCUCUGAGUGUGUGUGUGUGUGUGUGUGUGUGAGAGAGAGAGAGAGAGAGAGAGACAAAGUGAGUUUUGGAGUUGAAUUGGGGG
This 129-nucleotide microRNA precursor is filed under the name Marmota monax (woodchuck). Lineage: Eukaryota; Metazoa; Chordata; Mammalia; Rodentia; Sciuridae. The record is from RNAcentral.